Molecule: ribosomal RNA, 211 nt
Filed under: uncultured Staphylococcus sp.
Lineage: Bacteria; Bacillati; Bacillota; Bacilli; Caryophanales; Staphylococcaceae
Description: partial 16S ribosomal RNA
Rfam family: Bacterial small subunit ribosomal RNA
Source: RNAcentral
CGGGAAACCGGAGCUAAUACCGAUAAUAUUUCGAACCGCAUGGUUCGAUAGUGAAAGAUGGUUUUGCUAUCACUUAUAGAUGGACCCGCGCCGUAUUAGCUAGUUGGUAAGGUAACGGCUUACCAAGGCGACGAUACGUAGCCGACCUGAGAGGGUGAUCGGCCACACUGGAACUGAGACACGGUCCAGACUCCUACGGGAGGCAGCAGUU